AGCGAACGCUGGCGGCAGGCUUAACACAUGCAAGUCGAACGGGCUUCUUCGGAAGUCAGUGGCAGACGGGUGAGUAACACGUGGGAACGUGCCCUUCGGUUCGGAAUAACUCAGGGAAACUUGAGCUAAUACCGGAUACGCCCUUUUGGGGAAAGGUUGACUGCCGAAGGAUCGGCCCGCGUCUGAUUAGCUUGUUGGUGGGGUAACGGCCUACCAAGGCGACGAUCAGUAGCUGGUCUGAGAGGAUGAUCAGCCACACUGGGACUGAGACACGGCCCAGCCCCCUACGGAGGGCGGCAGUGGGGAUUAUGGAACAAGGGGCGAAGGCUUGACCCAGCCGUGCCGGGUGGGUAAUAAGGCCCUUAGGGUUGAAAAGCUUUUUUUCCCGGGACGAUAAUGACGGUACCGAAAGAAAAAGCCCCGGCUACCUUCGU
This 434-nucleotide ribosomal RNA is filed under the name uncultured bacterium. Its description in RNAcentral is "partial 16S ribosomal RNA". It matches the Rfam family "Bacterial small subunit ribosomal RNA", at positions 29 to 506 of the family's 1533-position model. The record is from RNAcentral.